CCUACGGGUGGCAGCAGUCGAGAAUCAUUCACAAUGGGGGAAACCCUGAUGGUGCGACGCCGCGUGGGGGAAUGAAGGUCUUCGGAUUGUAAACCCCUGUCAUGUGGGAGCAAAUUAAAAAGAUAGUACCACAAGAGGAAGAGACGGCUAACUCUGUACCAGCAGCCGCGGUAAUACAGAGGUCUCAAGCGUUGUUCGGAAUCACUGGUCGUAAGGCGUGCGUAGGCUGUUUCGUAAGUCGUGUGUGAAAGGCGCGGGCUCAACCCGCGGACGGCACAUGAUACUGCGAGACUAGAGUAAUGGAGGGGGAACCGGAAUUCUCGGUGUAGCAGUGAAAUGCGUAGAUAUCGAGAGGAACACUCGUGGCGAAGGCGGGUUCCUGGACAUUAACUGACGCUGAGGCACGAAGGCCAGGGGAGCGAAAGGGAUUAGAUACCCUUGUAGUC
RNAcentral lists this ribosomal RNA (446 nucleotides) under uncultured bacterium. Its description in RNAcentral is "partial 16S ribosomal RNA". It matches the Rfam family "Bacterial small subunit ribosomal RNA", at positions 338 to 795 of the family's 1533-position model. The record is from RNAcentral.